UUCAGGAUAUGCAAUGUAUAUCUUGGUCUCAAUAGAUUGUGCGGUUUUGUGAUGUUACAUUUAUAAAUCAUUGAGUGCUUGUUUAUUUUAGAAUCAAAUAUCUUCACCUUGUUUGCAAAAUAUUAAUCUUUUAGCCUGCUAGGUACCUUUGAGUUCUCUGGUAGUACGUGAUGGGCCAGGUGAGUUGAUCAUCCCAGCCAGGGAUACUAUGGCGAUGAGAUCAUUUGAAGCUUCAAGUGACGUCUGAUCUAAUAGUUUGACCUGGCCCACAAAACCGGUUUGGUUUUCAAACAGAUGACGUACAAAUAGAUGAACACUGGGAGUCGUGUUUAAAUAAUAAUUUUGGUGGGGGCUAGAAGGAGGUAAACCAGAAUGCCAAGUGUCAAUGUCCACAAGUUUUCGGAGGAGAAAGUUUAAAUGUUCCAGAUUUUAUAAAUUUCGGACAAUGAUGAUGUUCAUGAGAUGUCUCAGUAAAAAGCUUUUUAUUUGAUGUUUGGAUAUAUCAGUGAACAUGACCUCUAAAGAUCUAAUGAAUCACUAUAUCACGCCU
This is a long non-coding RNA of Brassica napus (rape), 550 nucleotides long. RefSeq lists it as uncharacterized. The transcript is spliced from 2 exons. The record is from RefSeq and is a predicted model, not a curated record. NCBI's taxonomy places the organism in Eukaryota, Viridiplantae, Streptophyta, Magnoliopsida, Brassicales, Brassicaceae.